ACAUUGGUUCACUGUCGUGGUUCUGCGGAUUUAAAUCCGUAGCUAAGAGGGAAUUCGGUCAAACGCCGGAGCUGCCCCCGCAACUGUAAGCGGUUAGCAAACGUCCAAUUUUGUCACUGGGUCUACCCCGGGAAGACGGACGAGAGCGAUUACCCGUGAGCCAGGAGACCUGCCACGUCAGAUAACGUUCA
RNAcentral lists this non-coding RNA (191 nucleotides) under Brucella pseudogrignonensis. The record is from RNAcentral. Lineage: Bacteria; Pseudomonadati; Pseudomonadota; Alphaproteobacteria; Hyphomicrobiales; Brucellaceae.